Molecule: ribosomal RNA, 633 nt
Filed under: Bacillus velezensis
Lineage: Bacteria; Bacillati; Bacillota; Bacilli; Caryophanales; Bacillaceae
Description: bacterial LSU rRNA
Rfam family: Bacterial large subunit ribosomal RNA
Source: RNAcentral
GCGUAAUAGCUCACUGGUCGAGUGACUCUGCGCCGAAAAUGUACCGGGGCUAAACGUAUCACCGAAGCUGCGGACUGUUCUUCGAACAGUGGUAGGAGAGCGUUCUAAGGGCUGUGAAGCAAGACCGGAAGGACUUGUGGAGCGCUUAGAAGUGAGAAUGCCGGUAUGAGUAGCGAAAGAGGGGUGAGAAUCCCCUCCACCGAAUGCCUAAGGUUUCCUGAGGAAGGCUCGUCCGCUCAGGGUUAGUCGGGACCUAAGCCGAGGCCGAAAGGCGUAGGCGAUGGAUAACAGGUUGAUAUUCCUGUACCACCUCCUCACCAUUUGAGCAAUGGGGGGACGCAGGAGGAUAGGGUAAGCGCGGUAUUGGAUAUCCGCGUCCAAGCAGUUAGGCUGGGAAAUAGGCAAAUCCGUUUCCCGUGAAGGCUGAGCUGUGAUGGCGAGCGAAUUAUAGUAGCGAAGUUCCUGAUUCCACACUGCCAAGAAAAGCCUCUAGCGAGGUGAGAGGUGCCCGUACCGCAAACCGACACAGGUAGGCGAGGAGAGAAUCCUAAGGUGAUCGAGAGAACUCUCGUUAAGGAACUCGGCAAAAUGACCCCGUAACUUCGGGAGAAGGGGUGCUCUGUUAGGUGCAAG